UAUUGUAAGUAGCCAUGAUAUCAUUAUGUC
RNAcentral lists this non-coding RNA (30 nucleotides) under Rattus norvegicus (Norway rat). Lineage: Eukaryota; Metazoa; Chordata; Mammalia; Rodentia; Muridae. The record is from RNAcentral.